This 1836-nucleotide long non-coding RNA is filed under the name Paramuricea clavata. Lineage: Eukaryota; Metazoa; Cnidaria; Anthozoa; Malacalcyonacea; Plexauridae. The record is from RNAcentral.
UAGAGAUUGGUUUUAGAUACAUCCAAAACCAUUUUCAUUAGCGCUAAAAUUGGUGAAUUGAUUUGCAUUUUCCUGCAGGGUUGGUUUUUGACGCAUCCAAAACCAUUCUGAUGAGCUAUACAUUGGCAAAUUUGUCUAGGGAUUGGUUUUGGACGCAUCUAAAACCAUUUCCAAAGCACUAAAAUCGGCUGAUUUGUUUUCAUUUGUCUGGGGAUUUUUUGCUAAAAUCAGCGAAUUGGUUUGCAUUUCUCCAGGAUAGUUUUGGACAUAUUGGUCAAUUGAUUUGCAUUUUCUCGCAGGGUUGGUUUUGGACGCAUCCGAAACCAUUCUCAUGAGCUAUAAAUUAGCUAAUUUGUUUGCAUUUGUCUAAGCAUUGGUUUUGGAUGCAUCCAAAACCAUUUUCAUUAGCGCUAAAAUUGGUGAAUUGAAUUGCAUGUUCCUGCAGGGUUGGUUUUUGACGCAUCCAAACCCAUUCUGAUGAGCUAUACAUUGGCAAAUUUGUCUAGGGAUUGGUUUUGGACGCAUCUAAAACCAUUUUCAAAAGCACUAAAAUCGGCUGAUUUGUUUUCAUUUGUCUGGGGAUUUUUUGCUAAAAUCAGCGAAUUGGUUUGCAUUUCUCCAGGAUAGUUUUGGACAUAUUGGUCAAUUGAUUUGCAUUUUCUCGCAGGGUUGGUUUUGGACGCGUCCGAAACCAUUCUCAUGAGCUAUAAAUUGGCUAAUUUGUUUGCAUUUGUCUAGAGAUUGGUUUAGAUGCAUCCAAAACCAUUUUCAUUAGCGCUAAAAUUGGUGAAUUGAUUUGCAUUUUCCUGCAGGGUUGGUUUUGGACGCAUCCAAAACCAUUCUGAUGAGCUAUACAUUGGCAAAUUUGUCUAGGGAUUGGUUUUGGACGCAUCUAAAACCAUUUUCAAAAGCACUAAAAUCGGCUGAUUUGUUUUCAUUUGUCUGGGGAUUUUUUGCUAAAAUCAGCGAAUUGGUUUGCAUUUCUCCAGGAUAGUUUUGGACAUAUUGGUCAAUUGAUUUGCAUUUUCUCGCAGGGUUGGUUUUGGACGCGUCCGAAACCAUUCUCAUGAGCUAUAAAUUGGCUAAUUUGUCUAGAGAUUGGUUUUAGAUGCAUCCAAAACCAUUUUCACUAGCGCUAAAAUCGGUAAAUUGGUGAAUUGAUUUGCAUUUUCCGCAGGGUUGGUUUUGGACGCGUCCAAAACCAUUCUCAUGAGCUAUAAAUUGGUCAAUUUGUUUGCACUUGUUUAGAGAUUGAUUUUGGAUGCAUCUAAAACCAUUUCCAAACGCACCAAAAUCGGCUGAUUUGUUUUCAUUUGUCUGGAGAUUUUUUGCUAAAAUCAGCGAAUUGGUUUGCAUUUCUCUAGGAUAGUUUUGGACAUAUCGGCAAAUUGAUUUGCAUUUUCCUACAGGGUUGGUAUUGGACGCGUCCAAAACCAUUCUCAUGAGCUAUAAAUUGCCUAAUUUGUUUGCAUUUGUCUAGGGAUUGGUUUUGGAUGUAUCCAAAACCAUUUUCCUUGGCGCUAAAAUCGGUAAAUUGAUUUGCAUUUUCCUAUAGGUUUGGUUUUGGACGCAUCCAAAACCAUUCUCAUGAGCUAUGAAUUGCCUAAUUUGUUUGCAUUUGUCUAGGGAUUGGUUUUGGAUGCAUCCAAAACCAUUUUCAUUAGCGCUAAAAUCGGUAAAUUGAUUUCCAUUUCCCUUAGCUGAUGCUAUCUUAACCAAAACUAUUGUAAAUUAUAGCAUAUUCGUACCAUAGAUUCCUUGUAUAUUAUUGCCUUUAUUGUAUAUAAUGUAUCUUAAUAAAGUGGGUAAAUAAAGGUUUUUUAAUCUGUUGUCAAG